GAUGAACGCUGGCGGCGCGCCUAACACAUGCAAGUCGAACGAUUAAAGCACCUUCGGGUGUGUAUAAAGUGGCGAACGGCUGAGUAACACGUGGGCAACCUGCCCCUUUCAUUGGGAUAGCCACGGGAAACCGUGGAUAAUACCGAAUACUUCGAGACUUCCGCAUGGAAGACUCGAGAAAGCUCCGGCGGAGAGGGAUGGGCCCGCGGCCUGUUAGCUUGUUGGUGGGGUAACGGCCUACCAAGGCAAUGAUGGGUAGCUGGGUUGAGAGACCGACCAGCCAGAUUGGGACUGAGACACGGCCCAGACUCCGACGGGAGGCAGCAGUGGGGAAUCUUGCACAAGGGGCGAAAGCCUGAGGCAGCGACGCCGCGUGCGGGAUGAGGCCUUCGGGUUGUAAACCGCUUUCAGCAGGGACGAGGCGAAAGUGACGGUACCUGCAGAAGAAGCCCCGGCUAACUACGUG
Molecule: ribosomal RNA, 466 nt
Filed under: uncultured bacterium
Lineage: Bacteria
Description: partial 16S ribosomal RNA
Rfam family: Bacterial small subunit ribosomal RNA
Source: RNAcentral